AUGCUGCGCGGCCGCACACCUGCUGCACCCGCGCCCCCGCCGCCCUCGCGGGGCGCCCACCCGGCUCCGCGCGCCCCAGCCGGCGGCCGCGCUAGGCCGGGACGGGAAGCCGCGGCGCCCCUGGCCGCGGGGCUGCGCGGGGGAGCGCGGGGGAGCGCGGGGGAGCGCGGGGCGCAGCGAGCCCGCCCUCGGCCCCGAGCCCCUCCAAACGGCGUCACCUGUGCCCUGUGCCGGGUCCGGGGCGCCUGGCGCGCGGGCGCGGUGCACCGGCCGGGAGAGCGACGGGCGCCGCCGAAGCCUGGUCCUCCGGCCCGAGCCCCCGCGAGCUGCUCGGCGGGCCGGGGAGCAGCCCGAGACCACAGCUACCGCCGCGGCCGCCGCGCCCGCCCGGACUGCGGGCUCGGGUUUCCGCACGGCGGCUCCUUAAAGGGGCCGCGGCCGCCCGGGCUCCGGCUCGGCUCCCGCUCCCGCUCCCGCUCCGGCUCCGGCUCCGGCUCCGGCUCCGCUCGCGGCGGCUGCGACCCGCGGCCAAGGUGGGCGGGGCCCGGGCCGGCUGCGGGGGCCGACCUCCGAGGGCAGCGCUCGGUCCCGGAGGCGCAGAGCCGGGAACGCCCGAGGCGAGCACACCUCGCCGGGGACCGGGCGUGCGGCUCCCCCGCUUCCCACAGCGCGAGCCAGACGAGCAGAAUUUUUCAAGAAAAAAUAUUUCAGGAUAUUACCAAUGGUUAUCUCUGGGUGGGUAAGAUCCUUAUGUCUUUUGUGGGGUUUUUGCUUAUCUUAUGUAACUUUUUCCUAUAAUGUGUAUGUAUUGCUUUUGUGUGCAUUUUUAAUGAAAGUAAUACAUAUAAGUGAAUACUCAAAUAGUUCAUAAAGGCUUAUAACAAAAACACUUGAGUCCCAUCAGCCCCUUAACCAAUUUCCUCCCACCAGUUCCACCCCAUGCUCCACAUAACCCUACCAGGUGUUCAUUUCCUAAACAAUAUGCUUAUAUCAAUGUUUCCUGCUUCCAUUUUUAGACAUUAUUUAUUGACUUCUUGUCAUGGAAUUUUGAGGAUAUAGCUCUUUUAUGCAUACCACCACCACCACUUUGCCCUUACCCUUCUCACACAGCUAUGUCACAACUUUUAUUCAAAUCAAUAAUUUGUGUUUUGAUCAUUCUGUCAACAUAAAUACAGUACACUACUGAAUCUAGGAAGCUGCCAUAAUGGUGCUUCUCUUGAAAAUCUCCUGGUCUCCCUGGAGUUAAUAAUUGCUUUUCUUUUUCACUUAUUUUUAAUGUAUCUGACCCAAAUUUUAUCCAGAUGUUUCAACAUAUCAAACACCCAUCAAUAAUAUCUUCAAUGCUCAAACAUUGGAAGUUCACACUCUUAUUUUGCUGAAGCACAGAUUUCAGUAGUUGACUUGGAGAAUGUGUAUAGAAGAUAAACUAUUUUAGCGUGCUUGCAUGUCUGAAAAUAUCUGUAUCCUAAUUCUCAUCCUCAAUUGAUAAUUUGGAUAAGAUAAAGAUCAUUUUUCCUCAGCAUUUUAAAAGCACUGUCCCCCACUGUCUUUUACUUCUAGUGUUGCCACUGAAAUAAAUGCCUAAUGUCUUUCUGGUUCCCCUUCUUCUGUAUGUAGCCAGUUCUUCUUUCUUUUUUUUUUUUUUCUUUUUUUUUUUUUUUUAUUGGUGUUCAAUUUACUAACAUACAGAAUAACACCCAGUGCCCGUCACCCAUUCACUCCCACCCCCCGCCCUCCUCCCCUUCUACCACCCCUAGUUCGUUUCCCAGAGUUAGCAGUCUUUAUGUUCUGUCUCCCUUUCUGAUAUUUCCCGCACAUUUCUUCUCCCUUCCCUU
RNAcentral lists this long non-coding RNA (1835 nucleotides) under Canis lupus familiaris (dog). Its description in RNAcentral is "lncRNA (ENSCAFG00040003385.1)". Lineage: Eukaryota; Metazoa; Chordata; Mammalia; Carnivora; Canidae. The record is from RNAcentral.